This 435-nucleotide long non-coding RNA is filed under the name Solanum tuberosum (potato). Its description in RNAcentral is "long non-coding RNA (STUB_LNC004107)". Lineage: Eukaryota; Viridiplantae; Streptophyta; Magnoliopsida; Solanales; Solanaceae. The record is from RNAcentral.
AUCAUCGUCGCCGUUAUCUCUGUUUUAACAAUGAUUAAGCGAGAUUACGAAUCUGAAUUACCUGCCAAUAACCCAGAAAAGGCAAUCCAAUUCAUUUGCUCGCCGACUACACACUACCAGACAUGCUUUAAGUACAUGUCUAAUUCCCUCUACAAAAAUAAAAAAUUAGGAUCAACAAAAAUCAACUCAUCUCAAGUAUUCUCCAUCUCACUUCAUACCGUAAUCGGCGAGCUCCAGAAAGUCAGUUACUCACUCAAAUCGUCCGAUUCCUCUACUGAUCAGUCAACUGUAAGUCACUGCAACUAUCUGUAUUUCAACAAAUCACUGAGUCAAUUGAACAGUUAUUUGGCGAUCGAUGAAGAGAAAAACAUGACUAUGAGAUCUGAAAUGCUUGAUUGGCUCCAAACUGAAAGGCCCAAAAUUGCGAGAUGUUUG